AAAAGUGCUCCGAACAGCUUUUCUCCAUCAAAAAGGAAAGGUAGCUACUUAAACACAUGACAGCAAUAACAGACAGUGCCACAUGCACACGUCCCAUAAUUCUGUGAACUCACCUCUCUUCCUGACCUAAUAGCUUCCAUUUACCGCUGGGCCCGUUCCAAGGGAAAGUGUAGAGCCCGGCCAAAAUCUGCGGACAGCUACUGAUGAGAUCGGCCGAGUCCAAAAAUGUGAGCGCAAUAAAACAACGGCAUGAGGAAAAGCUGGACGUCCUCCUGGGCCGCAUUAGCGAGAUUUAAAUGUGGAUGUGCAGUGGAUUGUGGGAGAUUUGCAAUGUCAACACAAACAAUCUUCUGCCAAGACUUCUUACAGGGU
Molecule: long non-coding RNA, 372 nt
Filed under: Danio rerio (zebrafish)
Lineage: Eukaryota; Metazoa; Chordata; Actinopteri; Cypriniformes; Danionidae
Description: lncRNA (ENSDARG00000117564.1)
Source: RNAcentral